AUUGAACGCUGGCGGCAGGCCUAACACAUGCAAGUCGAACGGUAACAGGAAGCAGCUUGCUGCUUUGCUGACGAGUGGCGGACGGGUGAGUAAUGUCUGGGAAACUGCCUGAUGGAGGGGGAUAACUACUGGAAACGGUAGCUAAUACCGCAUAACGUCGCAAGACCAAAGAGGGGGACCUUCGGGCCUCUUGCCAUCGGAUGUGCCCAGAUGGGAUUAGCUUGUUGGUGGGGUAACGGCUCACCAAGGCGACGAUCCCUAGCUGGUCUGAGAGGAUGACCAGCCACACUGGAACUGAGACACGGUCCAGACUCCUACGGGAGGCAGCAGUGGGGAAUAUUGCACAAUGGGCGCAAGCCUGAUGCAGCCAUGCCGCGUGUAUGAAGAAGGCCUUCGGGUUGUAAAGUACUUUCAGCGGGGAGGAAGGGAGUAAAGUUAAUACCUUUGCUCAUUGACGUUACCCGCAGAAGAAGCACCGGCUAACUCCGUGCCAGCAGCCGCGGUAAUACGGAGGGUGCAAGCGUUAAUCGGAAUUACUGGGCGUAAAGCGCACGCAGGCGGUUUGUUAAGUCAGAUGUGAAAUCCCCGGGCUCAACCUGGGAACUGCAUCUGAUACUGGCAAGCUUGAGUCUCGUAGAGGGGGGUAGAAUUCCAGGUGUAGCGGUGAAAUGCGUAGAGAUCUGGAGGAAUACCGGUGGCGAAGGCGGCCCCCUGGACGAAGACUGACG
RNAcentral lists this ribosomal RNA (728 nucleotides) under Escherichia sp. RNAcentral describes it as "bacterial SSU rRNA". It matches the Rfam family "Bacterial small subunit ribosomal RNA", at positions 28 to 745 of the family's 1533-position model. The record is from RNAcentral. Lineage: Bacteria; Pseudomonadati; Pseudomonadota; Gammaproteobacteria; Enterobacterales; Enterobacteriaceae.